RNAcentral lists this ribosomal RNA (450 nucleotides) under uncultured bacterium. RNAcentral describes it as "partial 16S ribosomal RNA". It matches the Rfam family "Bacterial small subunit ribosomal RNA", at positions 354 to 796 of the family's 1533-position model. The record is from RNAcentral.
GUGGGGAAUCUUCCGCAAUGGACGAAAGUCUGACGGAGCAACGCCGCGUGAGUGAUGAAGGUCUUCGGAUUGUAAAGCUCUGUUAAUCGGGACGAAAGAGCCUAGUGUGAAUAAUGCUAGGAAGUGACGGUACCGGAAUAGAAAGCCACGGCUAACUACGUGCCAGCAGCCGCGGUAAUACGUAGGUGGCAAGCGUUGUCCGGAAUUAUUGGGCGUAAAGCGCGCGCAGGCGGAUCUGCCAGUCUGUCUUAAAAGUUCGGGGCUUAACCCCGUGAUGGGAUGCAAACUACAGAGCUAGAGUAUCGGAGAGGAAAGUGGAAUUCCUAGUGUAGCGGUGAAAUGCGUAGAUAUUAGGAAGAACACCAGUGGCGAAGGCGACUUUCUGGACGAAAACUGACGCUGAGGCGCGAAAGCCAGGGGAGCGAACGGGAUUAGAUACCCUAGUAGUCC